Molecule: long non-coding RNA, 590 nt
Organism: Ornithorhynchus anatinus (platypus)
Lineage: Eukaryota; Metazoa; Chordata; Mammalia; Monotremata; Ornithorhynchidae
Exons: 4
Source: RefSeq, a predicted model, not a curated record
GCUUGCCACUUUACGUGGUCUGGUUGGAUGUUUUUUUCCUGAAAUGGCACAGAGAGUCAAGCUCUGAGGGCUUUUCAAAGCCAGUGAAGAUGAUUUACCACUCCUACACCAUUGGUUUGACUCUUUGGGGGAAAUGGAAUAUGAUGAAACACAAAGAAACAUCUUUUCCCAGAGGUGCUCUUGAGGGAACAUAUUCCACGUUUACCAGCCAGUGAGUUAAAAGAUCCAACCACUCUCCUCCUCCUCCUCUUCCUCAUCAUCAUCGAGCACCUAUUUUGGGCCCAGAGCUUCCACCUCAGCCCACUGACGCACUUUGCCGUUGCCAUCUAACAUGCCCAGGAGAGAGAAGAUUCUGGGAGAAGGAAAGAGGAAGCUAGGCCAUUUACUCACCUUCCACCAUCAAGAAAAUGUUCCCGCUGCAGGAAGGAGAAUCGAGCUCUUUGUACUUCCUAAAGCAUUAGAAGAAUUGAAAUCUCCCAUCUCCAGAAAGCAGGAUCCAUGAUCACCUCCAUAUUUCCUCUCUUCCUGCUGAUGCUUUGUGCCUGUAUCCAGAGCAGAAGAAAUUGCUACCUCACGUCAGCAGGCUUAGC